AUUGAACGCUGGCGGCAGGCUUAACACAUGCAAGUCGAACGAGAGGCGGACGGGUGAGUAAUGUCUGGGAAACUAGCUUAUGGAGGGGGAUAACUACGGGAAACGGUAGCUAAUACCGCGUACCAUAGGCUGUGCCCACGUGGGAUUAGGUAGUUGGUGAGGUAAAGGCUCACCAAGACGACGAUCCCUAGCUGGUCUGAGAGGAGGACCAGCCACACUGGAACUGAGACACGGCCCAGACUCGUACGGGAGGCAGCAGUGGGGAAUAUUGCGCAAUGGGUGCAAGCUGACGCAGCCAUGCCGCGUGGGUGAAGAAGGCCUUCGGGUUGUAAAGUUCUUUCGGUAGCGAGGCGUUAACUACAGAAGAAGCACCGGCUAACUCCGUGCCAGCCGCCGCGGUAAUAC
This 405-nucleotide ribosomal RNA is filed under the name uncultured bacterium. Its description in RNAcentral is "partial 16S ribosomal RNA". It matches the Rfam family "Bacterial small subunit ribosomal RNA", at positions 30 to 526 of the family's 1533-position model. The record is from RNAcentral.